CUUUCAACAACGGAUCUCUUGGCUCUCGCAUCGAUGAAGAACGCAGCGAAAUGCGAUAAGUAAUGUGAAUUGCAGAAUUCAGUGAAUCAUCGAAUCUUUGAACGCACCUUGCGCCCCUUGGUAUUCCGAGGAGCAUGCCUGUUUGAGUGUC
Molecule: ribosomal RNA, 151 nt
Filed under: Calocybe aurantiaca
Lineage: Eukaryota; Fungi; Basidiomycota; Agaricomycetes; Agaricales; Lyophyllaceae
Description: 5.8S ribosomal RNA
Rfam family: 5.8S ribosomal RNA
About the family: 5.8S ribosomal RNA (5.8S rRNA) is a component of the large subunit of the eukaryotic ribosome. It is transcribed by RNA polymerase I as part of the 45S precursor that also contains 18S and 28S rRNA.
Source: RNAcentral